GAGAGUUAUCACAACUCCCAAACCCCUGUGAACGUACCACGCGUUGCCUCGGUGGGCGUCAGCCUGCCGGUGGCCUACACGAACUCUGUUUAUCUUGAAUUCUGAACAAAUAACUAAAUCAGUUA
This 125-nucleotide unclassified non-coding RNA is filed under the name uncultured fungus. RNAcentral describes it as "sequence contains ITS1". Lineage: Eukaryota; Fungi. The record is from RNAcentral.